Molecule: unclassified non-coding RNA, 257 nt
Filed under: fungal sp.
Lineage: Eukaryota; Fungi
Description: partial internal transcribed spacer region
Rfam family: Eukaryotic small subunit ribosomal RNA (bases 1-46)
Source: RNAcentral
AAGUCGUAACAAGGUUUCCGUAGGUGAACCUGCGGAAGGAUCAUUAACACUUUGUUCAUUUUUUAAUAUUUACUUAAAUUUAUUUUUUAAUUAAAUAUUAGAAAAACAAAAACCCCACAAUUUUGGAUGAAUUUAAUUAUUUUCAUUUUUAUUUUAUUAUUAUUAAAACUCUAUAUAAAUUUCUUUGACUAACAUUUUUUUUUUUAAAUUAUUUAAAAUUAUAAAAACAACUCUUAACAACGGAUAUCUUGGCUCUC